GAUGAACGCUGGCGGCGUGCCUAAUACAUGCAAGUCGAGCGAACAGACGAGGAGCUUGCUCCUCUGACGUUAGCGGCGGACGGGUGAGUAACACGUGGAUAACCUACCUAUAAGACUGGGAUAACUUCGGGAAACCGGAGCUAAUACCGGAUAAUAUAUUGAACCGCAUGGUUCAAUAGUGAAAGACGGUUUUGCUGUCACUUAUAGAUGGAUCCGCGCCGCAUUAGCUAGUUGGUAAGGUAACGGCUUACCAAGGCAACGAUGCGUAGCCGACCUGAGAGGGUGAUCGGCCACACUGGAACUGAGACACGGUCCAGACUCCUACGGGAGGCAGCAGUAGGGAAUCUUCCGCAAUGGGCGAAAGCUUGACGGAGCAACGCCGCGUGAGUGAUGAAGGUCUUCGGAUCGUCAAACUCUGUUAUUAGGGAAGAACAAAUGUGUAAGUAACUAUGCACGUCUUGACGGUACCUAAUCAGAAAGCCACGGCUAACUACGUG
RNAcentral lists this ribosomal RNA (497 nucleotides) under uncultured bacterium. RNAcentral's name for it is "partial 16S ribosomal RNA". It matches the Rfam family "Bacterial small subunit ribosomal RNA", at positions 28 to 507 of the family's 1533-position model. The record is from RNAcentral.